AAUCUUCCACAAUGGGCGAAAGCCUGAUGGCGCAACGCUGCGUGAGUGAAGAAGGUCUUCGGAUCGUAAAACUCUGUUGUAAGGGAAGAGCAAGUACAGUAGUACCCGGCUGUACCUUGACGGUAUCUUAUUAGACAGCCACGUCUAACUACGCGACAGCAGCCGCGGUAAUACGUAGGUGGCAAGCGUUGUCCGGAAUUUUUGGGCGUAAAGCGCGCGCAGGCGGUCCUUUAAGUCUGAUGUGAAAGCCCACGGCUCAACCGUGGAGGGUCAUAGAAAACUGGGGGGCUAGAGUGCAGAAGAGGAAAGUGGAAUUCCAAGUGUAGCGGUGAAAUGCGUAGAGAUUUGGAGGAACACCAGUGGCGAAGGCGACUUUCUGGUCUGUAACUGACGCUGAGGCGCGAAAGCGUGGGGAGCAAAC
This 421-nucleotide ribosomal RNA is filed under the name uncultured bacterium. Its description in RNAcentral is "partial 16S ribosomal RNA". It matches the Rfam family "Bacterial small subunit ribosomal RNA", at positions 360 to 773 of the family's 1533-position model. The record is from RNAcentral.